GCCGAGAUGGUGGAAUUGGUAGACACGACAGACUUAAAAUCUGUUGACCAUUUAGUUGUGCGGGUUCGAGUCCCGUUCUCGGUAC
This 85-nucleotide transfer RNA is filed under the name uncultured phage cr271_1. RNAcentral describes it as "crAssphage cr271_1 tRNA-Leu". It matches the Rfam family "tRNA". From Rfam's summary of the family: Transfer RNA (tRNA) molecules are approximately 80 nucleotides in length. Their secondary structure includes four short double-helical elements and three loops (D, anti-codon, and T loops). Further hydrogen bonds mediate the characteristic L-shaped molecular structure. tRNAs have two regions of fundamental functional importance: the anti-codon, which is responsible for specific mRNA codon recognition, and the 3' end, to which the tRNAs corresponding amino acid is attached (by aminoacyl-tRNA synthetases). tRNAs cope with the degeneracy of the genetic code in two manners: having more than one tRNA (with a specific anti-codon) for a particular amino acid; and 'wobble' base-pairing, i.e. permitting non-standard base-pairing at the 3rd anti-codon position. Lineage: Duplodnaviria; Heunggongvirae; Uroviricota; Caudoviricetes; Crassvirales; Intestiviridae. The record is from RNAcentral.